Molecule: ribosomal RNA, 117 nt
Filed under: uncultured Rhizobiales bacterium HF4000_32B18
Lineage: Bacteria; Pseudomonadati; Pseudomonadota; Alphaproteobacteria; Hyphomicrobiales
Source: RNAcentral
CCUGGUGGCCUUUGCGAGGAGCCCCCACCCGAUCCCAUUCCGAACUCGGCCGUUAAACUCCUCAGCGCCGAUGGUACUCUGGCUCAAGCCACGGGAGAGUAGGUCGCCGCCAGGCCU